CUCUCGGCAACGGAUAUCUCGGCUCUCGCAUCGAUGAAGAACGUAGCGAAAUGCGAUACUUGGUGUGAAUUGCAGAAUCCCGUGAACCAUCGAGUCUUUGAACGCAAGUUGCGCCCGAAGCCUUCUGGCUGAGGGCACGCCUGCCUGGGCGUCACGCAUCGC
RNAcentral lists this ribosomal RNA (162 nucleotides) under Krascheninnikovia lenensis. RNAcentral's name for it is "23S ribosomal RNA". It matches the Rfam family "5.8S ribosomal RNA". From Rfam's summary of the family: 5.8S ribosomal RNA (5.8S rRNA) is a component of the large subunit of the eukaryotic ribosome. It is transcribed by RNA polymerase I as part of the 45S precursor that also contains 18S and 28S rRNA. Functionally, it is thought that 5.8S rRNA may be involved in ribosome translocation. Lineage: Eukaryota; Viridiplantae; Streptophyta; Magnoliopsida; Caryophyllales; Amaranthaceae. The record is from RNAcentral.